UAUCUGCAUGGAAGAGAGAAUCUAGCCUAUAUGCUUCUUUCUCAGGACCUUCUUGUGUCUCCAAAGAAAGUUACUCCAUGCUAUUACUGGUAGCUGCCUGAUCCCAGAAAUCCAGUGUGGAAGAGGAGAUAUCAAUGGAUCCCCAGGUGGCCAAUAUAUUGAGGGGCACCAUUAGUGUGUGGAUAAUGUCAUUUACAUUGUCUAUAUAUGUCGCCUUCGACAUCAGAAAUAAAUGGCAACACUUAGAGAAGAGAAGGAAAAGAAAAGAAAAAAUAAAUAAAUGGUCCUUUUACUGGCAGCUGAAUGGGAUACUGGCAGUGACUUCUUCUAUUGAUCUGGGUGCUUUUAUUUGUUACGUCUGGACAAAACAUGGUUGCCCAGGGUUUUUUUUUGUGGAUGAUUGGAUGAACUGGCUUGUUUGGACUGUUAUAACAGUCUUCACGAUGAUCUUAAUAAUAACACUUUUGAAUAUGCGUGUGGCUUUUUUUUCCUUCUUUAUGAUGCUGCAGUUUUCAGUGAAUAUCAGCAAUAUAGACAAUAUUAUCUUUUUUCUUCCGAUGCUAAGGAUGUUUUUGGCCUACUAUCAGUGGUGGUUCCUUCUCCAAUGAUUCAGGCACAUUCUGUUUUACCUGUCACCAUGGGU
RNAcentral lists this long non-coding RNA (643 nucleotides) under Monodelphis domestica (gray short-tailed opossum). RNAcentral's name for it is "lncRNA (ENSMODG00000047187.1)". Lineage: Eukaryota; Metazoa; Chordata; Mammalia; Didelphimorphia; Didelphidae. The record is from RNAcentral.